RNAcentral lists this long non-coding RNA (2365 nucleotides) under Gossypium barbadense (sea-island cotton). RNAcentral describes it as "long non-coding RNA (GBAR_LNC007200)". The record is from RNAcentral. Lineage: Eukaryota; Viridiplantae; Streptophyta; Magnoliopsida; Malvales; Malvaceae.
AAUAAUCCCAGAAAAAUAAUUAAAAUGGCCUUAUUACAACCCAAAACCAAAUAAUAAUAUUAAUAAGAUAAAACUUAUAAAGAAAUAAAUCGGCUACUUAUUGCAAUUAAAAGAAACAAAAAUAGUAGUGUGGUCAUCUCCGAGUCCCUCGCAGCUUCAAACCAUCUAAGCUUAGGGAUUACCUACACAGUUAGAAAUGGGGUGAGUUUACGAAAACUCAGUGUGUAAUCCCCAACAACAAACAAACAAUGAAUAACACAGUGUCAAUACAAUCUGGGCCAAAGCCCUAUUCAGUAACAGUAUAGUCUGGGCCUUAGCCCUUAAAUAGUAGCAAUAUGGGCCUAAGCCCUAAUUCAGUCUCGACAUAUACUGGGCCGAAGCCUUUUCAUAAAUCAUAUCACUGGCCGAAGCCUUUACUGUAAGAGAUAUGGCUCAUAGGUCAAUUUCAAUAUCACAUGUACUAUCAAUGAAUGUAUGCAAGCCCAUUUGGGGAGACUACUCAACCCACCAUCCGCUACUCUCCACUCGUACCAACCAACACACCAUGUGGGGAAUAACUCAACCCACCCAACCAAACUCUCUACUGGCAGCAUAGCUGCUUUAUCAUAUAACUGGAGGCCUAGCUUCUUUUAAUAACUAGGGCAAAGCCCUUUCUGAUAAACUGGGGCAAAGCCCUUUUUCGGUAAACUGGCGCAGAGCCCUUUUAGCACUUCCUCCAUCAAUAUAACCCAUCUCCCAUGCAAUAUGUCAUGUAUGCAGAAUGUCAUGCCCAUAGUUGAAUCAAACAAUCACAGUCAAGUCAUUCAUAUCACCAACAUAUAUUCACAAUCAAUCCGUCAACCACACAGUCCAAGUCAGUCACUUGCCCACAAGGGCAAAACAGUCAUUUUUCAUAUUAUAAGGGUAUUUUCAUAAUUUUACCAAAAAUCAGGGUUUUCCAUGUUCGUUACGAUUGUCAAUAUUUCUUAGUGUUUAAUCAAUGAUCUUUAACCCACUUAUCAAAUUCAGGCUUUUGGGCCCAAAACCCCUAAUGGGCCCUACGAAUGUUGAUUUAGCCCACUGAGCCUGCUUAACCCAAAUUUUACAACAAUACUAACCGUGUUAACAUGCAACUUUUCCAAAUUCCAUUUUCUAUCAAUUUUACCCAAAUGGGCCCAAAAGCCCAUUUGGUCCAAUUUUUGCCCAUUGAGGCCCAACUUACCAUCGUGCACAAAAUUGAGUUCUUACCCGUUCCAUCGAUCCAAACACUGAUCUUAUCGUAUUUAUCGCAUCUAUACCCACAUGCAACAUUACAAGUUCCCGAAAUGCCAGUAUUUUAGCAUUUCGGCUUCUCAGCAGAUAUUAAUCUAAGCUACUACGAGGGUUAGUACACACCUGUUAUGGGUUGAAGUUGAAACAUUUCCAUAAUCAAUCACCUACGAUAACCACCACCUGUCACUCAAACUUAACUAAUCCAAUAUCAAUAUAUGUAAAUCCUAAGCACAUCAGUCAUACGGAACAUAAGGGCAUAUUCAUCAUUUUACCAUACAAGGGUAUUACAGUCACUUUACCCUACAAGGGCUUUACGGUCUUUUUACCUAUUAGGGAUAUUUUAGUCAUUUCAUCCUACAAGGGUGUUUUGGUAAAUCUACAAACCAAGGGUAUUUCAGUAAUUUUGUAAACAAAUGGUAUUUCUAUAAUUUUUAGAAAGUCAAAGGUAUUUCUGUAAUUUUGUAAAUCAGGGGUAUUUUGGUAAUUUUACAAAUUGAGGGUAUUUCGAUAAUUUCACAAACUAGUGGUAUUUCGAUAAUUUUACAAACUAGGGGUAUUUUGGUAAUUUUACAAACUAGGGGUAUUUUGGUAAUUUAAUCCUACAGGGGUAUUUCAGUAAUUUCACAAUCGAGGGUAAAAUGGUAAUUUUGUAAACUGAGGGUAAAAUAGUAAUUUUGUAAAUCGAGGGUAAAAUGCUAAUUCUAUAAAUCAAGGGUAGAAUGGUAAUUCUACUAAUCGAGGGCAUUUCAGUAAUUUGGUAAACUAAAGUAUUCUAAACAGGGAUAACAAUACAAAUGGGCCUAAUGCCUAUUCUUGGCCCAAAUAGGCCCACACGCUCGUGUGGCCCUUUUAGCCCAAAUCUAACCACAAAUGUGAGAUUCACCUAGCCUAGUCCAAUAUUUACUACACAAUCAAACAACUUAUCCAAUUGGGCCCGUCGGCCCAUUAGGCCCACAUAACCCCUUUCGGCCAAUCGCGGCCCGAAGUAGCCAUCCUACAACUAGAGUAGUGAGAAAAUACACACCUGAUAGGAGACUGGAGUUAAUCCACGCUCCAGCACUCUUAGCUGACGCCCAACCCAAACGAGCACGCCAUACAACGAAAGGGAUCAGCC